This 2683-nucleotide long non-coding RNA is filed under the name Helianthus annuus (common sunflower). RNAcentral's name for it is "hypothetical non coding rna". The record is from RNAcentral. Lineage: Eukaryota; Viridiplantae; Streptophyta; Magnoliopsida; Asterales; Asteraceae.
GGUACAAUACUCCUACCCGUACCCAUAUCAGUACCGAAUAAUAACAAAACUGGACACCGAAUACCGUACCGAAUAUUAUGGUAUGGUACAAGUAACGGGUAUUGUCAUUGAUACUUCAACACAGUACCUGAUUUGAUACCAUUUUGUUUUUUUUAAUCUUUUAAGCACUCAUACACUAAAUAGGUAAAUAGGUAAAUUUGGUACGGGUACCAAACUACCAAUAAAGUACGGGUGCAAAUAAGUAUAACGUUUUAGCAGCCCUUUCGCUUUGAUACCGGUUGCGGUUCGGUCAACAAAAGUCAAACCCAGUUCUUGUGAAACGGGUUUGGGUUUGGGUUUGGAACCGGUUUAUGAAGUGACUAUAUAAGUAAAAACCGCGAAACAAACGACUCCUUAGUUUUUUUGCAGUGACUAUAAAUUACAUGAAUUGAAAAACUUAAAAAAAAACCAGCAACUUAAACCAUAAAUACAACAAGAUGAUAAGGAGUAACAACAAGUUAACAAUCACAAAGCUAUCAACUCUGCUAGAAUCUGCAACCCGUUUCGGCCUUCAUGAAAUGCUACAUGCUAAUUGGCCCGAUUAACCUUCAGAUAAGGCAAGGCGCCAAUGACAUUGUUAUAGUCACUGCGAUCAACUUGUACCUGUCGUGAAAUAAUCGAGUUAUAGAUUUUUCUGUCGAAAUUCGAAAAUUAACUAAUGCAAAACAUCGGCCAAAGCCGUCUAGUUUACUAUAUUAACAUAAUUUAGUUUUAUGUUAAAAUAAACAACAUAUGACACGUGUUUAGACUAUGUGUUACGGGGCAUUGCAAAUGACACGUGUUUUAUUUUCAUUGGCCCAAAAUUUAAUUUCACACGCAUAUCCACAUAUUCCAGACCAUAGUUGUUAAUGGUGAAUAGCGACAAAUAGCGAUAAGGUCCUAUAUGCUACAUAGUGAAUAGCGAUAAAUAACGGGCGCCUAUUUUAUAAAUAGCGAUGCACUAGAAAAAAAUUAUAUGUAGAUUAUAUCAAAUUACCCUGGUAUAUAUGCUAUUUUACAUGUAUAUUCAACAAAAACCUAAAAUCCAGCUGUUUUAUAGCUAUAUUUUAUUGCUAUAUAUUAAAAAAAAAAACAAAACAAUAAAUAAAUAAAUUGUCGCUAAUAUCGCUAUCUGUCGCUACAACCCUAAUAGCGAGCCUAGACCUAUACGCUACGUAGUGCGCUAUAACGAUCGCUAUUGACAACUAUGUUCCAGACUCACGACCGUUGCCACACUCACACCUUAGCCCUUAACGCCCCCUAUGGGCUGACAUGGCAAUGGGCGCGAGCCCACUACACGCAGUCUUAGCAAUGGGAGCUUGAAAGUGUGCCUAAAAUGCAAGAAACACAUGAUAGAAUCAAACACUAACCGUUUUCGAGAGACGGUUUCUCCUCUUAGCAUUCUUCUUUCUAAGCAAAUGCUGCUUCCCAGCUCUCCUCCUCACAAUCUUCCCUGUUCCUGUCACCCUAAACCUCUUUGCUGAAGCCUUACAAAAAUGCAAAAUUCAACAUCAAUUUGACUAAAGACUUGAACUUUAUUUCAAGAAACUAUAAACCCACAAACCUCAACAAAUUUUCAAAAGAGUUAAAUGUCAUUUUCGUCCGUGGUUUGUUCAGUUACGUCAGUCCAGGCCAAAUUUCAAAUUUGUACCAUUUUCGUCCCUGACAUUCUUGAAACAUGCCAAUUCCGUCGAAAAAACUAAGGUUGAAUCGAAUAAUUGGACAAACCACAGGGACGAAAAUAAAAGUUAACUCAUGUUUUUUUGGACGGAACUCGCAUGUUUUAAAAACGUCAGGGACGAAGAUGGUACAGAUUUGAAAUUUGACCUGAACUGUCAUAAUUGGACAAACCACAUGAACACGGAAAUAGCAAAUAGCAGUUAACUCUUAACAAAAAUUCUAACCACCAAAGACAUUCCACAUAAAAUUAAAUAAACUUUGAUUCAAGAACUUAUGCAAAAACCUAAAAAUUAGAAUGAAAAAAAAAAAAAAAAAAAAACCAAAGUAGGAUUAUUUCAACAUCAAUUUGAUUAAAGACUUGCCCUUUAUUCCAAGAAACUAAUAACCCACAUACCCAAAUCCAUAAAAAAAAAAAAAAAAAAAAAAAAAAAAAAAAAAAAAACAAAAGAACCACACACACCUAACAAAUUUACAAGAACCCUAACCACCAAAUGACAUUUCACAUAAAACUAUAUAAAAUUUGAUGCAAGAAGUUAAACAGAAAAAAAAAAAUCAAUUUGAUUAAAGACUUGCACUUUAUUUCAAGAAACUAAAACCCCACAAAUUUACAUAAAUUCAAACCACCAAAUAGCAUAAAACAAGAACAAAAUUAGCCACAUAAACCAAAAUCACCUUAUGGGUUUUCAUCUUAUACCCUUUUGCAGCUACAAUUGUGAGGGAUUGGGGCUUUCCAUUAGGGGAAGACACAAUCGGGGCUCUGUUUGGAACAAGUGGGGAGAAAACAGAGAUACUGUGUGAUGAUGAGAGGUUUAAUGGUGUUGAUUUCUUCAAGUGUGCGAGACAAACGGUGGUGUGAGAAGAUGGGGUUGUGUGAAGGGGUUUGAUUGGAGCUAUGAGUGAUGUGCAGGUGAAAAAGGUUGAAGACGCCAUUGUUGUUGUGUUGAUGGAGCUGUGUGGGAUUUUGUUUGUAUUUUUACCAAACUAG